Molecule: non-coding RNA, 1063 nt
Organism: Camelina sativa (false flax)
Lineage: Eukaryota; Viridiplantae; Streptophyta; Magnoliopsida; Brassicales; Brassicaceae
Source: RefSeq, a predicted model, not a curated record
ACCUCGUGAAUGCCUGUGAACUUCUUCCUCUUGGUUUGUUUUUUCUUCCGUGAACACAAGAGGAAGAAGUUCACUCGCAGUCGCAGCGAUGAAGAGUAAACACAUGAACCUGCUCCUUCCUUCAUUUGAAACGGACCAAGAGGAACACGAUGAACGCAAGACGACAGAAAACGGAGGCAUUGGUGGCGACGACGUCUGCAGGUUCAAAGGCAACAAAGCGGCCAAGGAAGCAGCUAGUGUUGGGAUGAAAGGUACCCUUGCGAGGCUACUACCCUUCCUUCCGCAAUUCAGCUGAUGCCGAGGAGGCGGUGGUUGAAUCCUUACGCUCUGGCUCCGCCAACUCUUAUCCCCCGGGAGUCGGUAUUUUACCGGCCAGGAGAGGUGGCUUGUUCGAUGAUCACGGGAGAGAGACAAGCGGCGAGGAUAAGAAGUACAUAUCUUAAUUAAAACAAUUCUAAGACAAUAUAUUGGAUUUUUUCGAUGUAGAAACAAAUACAGGAGAGGUUAUCAAUAGAAAGAAUGUCUGGAGAUACUGGUCUUAUACAAGAUGCCAUGGAUGAGAACUGAGAAGAGAUUUUGUAGGCUGAAACAGGGCGAAGUAAAGUAUUAGACUUGCUAUGCUAGAAAUAAGCGGUGUAGCAAAAGACUGAUUAGUAUAUAGGUUGUUCUGUAAUUCCUAAUGUUAAAGCUUGAACCUUUGUAAGUCCUGUUCCGUUUAUUUUUCCCAGACCAAGGACAGGUCGGAUUAUCAAAGAGUUUGUAGUAGCAACCAGAAUUGGCGAUCUUGGUGAAUGGUGCCUAUAUGAAUCAUAAGUUGCAGGUUAUCAAAGGUAAUGACAGUCUUUCAAGAGUGCAAGAUGGUGUUAAGAAGGUUAAGAAACAGUCUUUCAAGAGUUUAUUGUGACAAUCUGCUGCACAUUUGAUUCGGUGAGUGCAAGAUGGAGCUUCCAGGGGCAAGUAACAAUAGUGCCAGCUUUCCAGAAAAGAAAAGAGAUCAUACAACCUCAAAUGGUUCUCAUGGAGCCUUUCAACGAAUCAAGCUGGUGAGUAGGAUCAUCGCUUU